Molecule: ribosomal RNA, 513 nt
Filed under: uncultured bacterium
Lineage: Bacteria
Description: partial 16S ribosomal RNA
Rfam family: Bacterial small subunit ribosomal RNA
Source: RNAcentral
GAUGAACGCUGGCGGCGUGCCUAAUACAUGCAAGUCGAGCGAACAGACGAGGAGCUUGCUCCUUUGACGUUAGCGGCGGACGGGUGAGUAACACGUGGGUAACCUACCUAUAAGACUGGGAUAACUUCGGGAAACCGGAGCUAAUACCGGAUAAUAUUUCGAACCGCAUGGUUCGAUAGUGAAAGAUGGCUUUGCUAUUACUUAUAGAUGGACCUGCGCCGUAUUAACUAGUUGGUAAGGUAACGGCUUACCAAGGCAACGAUACGUAGCCGACCUGAGAGGGUGAUCGGCCACACUGGAACUGAGACACGGUCCAGACUCCUACGGGAGGCAGCAGUAGGGAAUCUUCCGCAAUGGGCGAAAGCCUGACGGAGCAACGCCGCGUGAGUGAUGAAGGUCUUCGGAUCGUAAAACUCUGUUAUUAGGGAAGAACAAACGUGUAAGUAACUGUGCACGUCUUGACGGUACCUAAUCAGAAAGCCACGGCUAACUACGUGCCAGCAGCCGCAGUAA